This 253-nucleotide ribosomal RNA is filed under the name uncultured bacterium. Its description in RNAcentral is "partial 16S ribosomal RNA". It matches the Rfam family "Bacterial small subunit ribosomal RNA", at positions 524 to 776 of the family's 1533-position model. The record is from RNAcentral.
UACGAAGGGUGCAAGCGUUACUCGGAAUUACUGGGCGUAAAGCGUGCGUAGGUGGUUCGCUAAGUCUGAUGUGAAAGCCCUGGGCUCAACCUGGGAACUGCAUUGGAUACUGGCGGGCUAGAGUGCGGUAGAGGGCAGUGGAAUUCCUGGUGUAGCAGUGAAAUGCGUAGAGAUCAGGAGGAACACCCGUGGCGAAGGCGACUGCCUGGACCAGUACUGACACUGAGGCACGAAAGCGUGGGGAGCAAACAGG